AAAUUGAAGAGUUUGAUCAUUCCUCAGAUUGAACGCUGGCGGCAGGCCUAACACAUGCAAGUCGAACGGUAACAGGAAGCAGCUUGCUGCUUCGCUGACGAGUGGCGGACGGGUGAGUAAUGUCUGGGAAACUGCCUGAUGGAGGGGGAUAACUACUGGAAACGGUGGCUAAUACCGCAUAACGUCGCAAGACCAAAGAGGGGGACCUUCGGGCCUCUUG
Molecule: ribosomal RNA, 220 nt
Filed under: Salmonella enterica subsp. enterica serovar Anatum
Lineage: Bacteria; Pseudomonadati; Pseudomonadota; Gammaproteobacteria; Enterobacterales; Enterobacteriaceae
Description: partial 16S ribosomal RNA
Rfam family: Bacterial small subunit ribosomal RNA
Source: RNAcentral